Long non-coding RNA from Cylas formicarius (sweet potato weevil), 324 nucleotides. RefSeq lists it as uncharacterized. Lineage: Eukaryota; Metazoa; Arthropoda; Insecta; Coleoptera; Brentidae. The record is from RefSeq and is a predicted model, not a curated record. The transcript has 3 exons.
CUUGAACUACAUAUUCUACAUUGUAUGCACGUACAAUAACGUAGUGUUCAAUUUUAGAAAUACGUGGAACAUAUGGGUUCUUUCACUUUGUUUUGCGUACGACAUAGUUGCAGAUCAGUUGAAGGGAAGAAACUAAAGCUUAAUCCAUCAAAUUUUGUUGUAAUUUUGUAAUUAAUAACGUGAGAUGUUCGAGGUGGGAGUACUACCACGUUGCGACGCUGGCGACUGGCGGACUUCUGGCCGGCAAGCUCUACCGAUCCGCGUCUAUUUUCUACCGCGGCACUCGAAUGUGUGGUGCACAUUGCCGUUGCUUCUGCAAAUAAU